AGCUCCAAUAGCGUAUAUUUAAGUUGUUGCAGUUAAAAAGCUCGUAGUUGGAACUUGGGACGUAAAGGUCGGUCCGCCUACUCGGUGUGCACCUGUCCUUCCGUCCCUUUUGUCGGCGGCGUGCUCCUGGCCUUAAUUGGCUGGGUCGCGGUUCCGGCGCUGUUACUUUGAAAAAAUUAGAGUGCUCAAAGCAAGCUUAUGCUCUGAAUACAUUAGCAUGGAAUAACGUGAUAGGAGUCUGGUCCUAUUGUGUUGGCCUUCGGGACCGGAGUAAUGAUUAAUAGGGACUGUCGGGGGCAUUCGUAUUUCAUUGUCAGAGGUGAAAUUCUUGGAUUUAUGAAAGACGGACCACUGCGAAAGCAUUUGCCAAGGAUGUUUUCA
RNAcentral lists this ribosomal RNA (381 nucleotides) under uncultured eukaryote. RNAcentral's name for it is "SSU rRNA". It matches the Rfam family "Eukaryotic small subunit ribosomal RNA", at positions 587 to 972 of the family's 1831-position model. The record is from RNAcentral.